GGGGAAUUUUGGACAAUGGGGGCAACCCUGAUCCAGCCAUUCCGCGUGAGUGAAGAAGGCCUUCGGGUUGUAAAGCUCUUUCGGCAGGAACGAAACGGCGGGCUCUAACAUAGCCUGUCAAUGACGGUACCUGAAGAAGAAGCACCGGCUAACUACGUGCCAGCAGCCGCGGUAAUACGUAGGGUGCGAGCGUUAAUCGGAAUUACUGGGCGUAAAGCGUGCGCAGGCGGCUUUGUAAGACAGGUGUGAAAUCCCCGGGCUUAACCUGGGAACUGCGCUUGUGACUGCAAGGCUCGAGUGUGGCAGAGGGGGGUGGAAUUCCACGUGUAGCAGUGAAAUGCGUAGAGAUGUGGAGGAACACCGAUGGCGAAGGCAGCCCCCUGGGUCAACACUGACGCUCAUGCACGAAAGCGUGGGUAGCAAAC
Molecule: ribosomal RNA, 425 nt
Filed under: uncultured bacterium
Lineage: Bacteria
Description: bacterial SSU rRNA
Rfam family: Bacterial small subunit ribosomal RNA
Source: RNAcentral